CAAUAGCGUAUAUUUAAGUUGUUGCAGUUAAAAAGCUCGUAGUUGGAUUUCUGCUGAGAACGACCGGUCCGCCCUCUGGGUGUGUAUCUGGCUCUUUCUUGGCAUCUUCUUGGUGAACGUUGCUGCACUUGACUGUGUGGAGCGCUACCCAGGACUUUUACUUUGAGGAAAUUAGAGUGUUUCAAGCAGGCAUACGCCUUGAAUACAUUAGCAUGGAAUAAUAAGAUAGGACCUCGGUUCUAUUUUGUUGGUUUCUAGAGCUGAGGUAAUGAUUAAUAGGGAUAGUUGGGGGCAUUCGUAUUUAACUGUCAGAGGUGAAAUUCUUGGAUUUGUUAAAGACGGACUACUGCGAAANCANNNGCCAAGGAUGUUUUCAUNGA
Molecule: ribosomal RNA, 380 nt
Filed under: uncultured eukaryote
Lineage: Eukaryota
Description: partial 18S ribosomal RNA
Rfam family: Eukaryotic small subunit ribosomal RNA
Source: RNAcentral